CUUGCAAACUGAAGAUGGCGACCGGCGCACGGGUGAGUAACACGUAUCCAACCUGCCGAUAACUCCGGAAUAGCCUUUCGAAAGAAAGAUUAAUACCGGAUAGCAUACGAAUAUCGCAUGAUAUUUUUAUUAAAGAAUUUCGGUUAUCGAUGGGGAUGCGUUCCAUUAGUUUGUUGGCGGGGUAACGGCCCACCAAGACUACGAUGGAUAGGGGUUCUGAGAGGAAGGUCCCCCACAUUGGAACUGAGACACGGUCCAAACUCCUACGGGAGGCAGCAGUGAGGAAUAUUGGUCAAUGGGCGAGAGCCUGAACCAGCCAAGUAGCGUGAAGGAUGAAGGCUCUAUGGGUCGUAAACUUCUUUUAUAUGGGAAUAAAGUUUUCCACGUGUGGAAUUUUGUAUGUACCAUAUGAAUAAGGAUCGGCUAACUCCGUGCCAGCAGCCGCGGUAAUACGGAGGAUCCGAGCGUUAUCCGGAUUUAUUGGGUUUAAAGGGAGCGUAGGUGGAUUGUUAAGUCAGUUGUGAAAGUUUGCGGCUCAACCGUAAAAUUGCAGUUGAAACUGGCAGUCUUGAGUACAGUAGAGGUGGGCGGAAUUCGUGGUGUAGCGGUGA
This 611-nucleotide ribosomal RNA is filed under the name uncultured Bacteroidales bacterium. Its description in RNAcentral is "bacterial SSU rRNA". It matches the Rfam family "Bacterial small subunit ribosomal RNA", at positions 74 to 684 of the family's 1533-position model. Lineage: Bacteria; Pseudomonadati; Bacteroidota; Bacteroidia; Bacteroidales. The record is from RNAcentral.